This 1688-nucleotide ribosomal RNA is filed under the name human gut metagenome. RNAcentral's name for it is "bacterial LSU rRNA". It matches the Rfam family "Bacterial large subunit ribosomal RNA", at positions 1127 to 2841 of the family's 2925-position model. The record is from RNAcentral.
AGAGUGCGUAAUAGCUCACUAGUCGAGAGGUCCUGCGCCGAAAAUGUCCGGGGCUAAAACACAACACCGAAGCUUAGGAAUGUAGAAAUACAUUGGUAGAGGAGCAUUCUUAAAGGAAUGAAGCAGUACCGAUAAGGAGCUGUGGACUUUUAAGAAGAGAGAAUGCCGGAAUGAGUAGCGAGAUGGAGGUGGGAAUCCUCCAGGCCGAAUAUCCAAGGUUUCCAGAGUAAAGCUGAUCUGCUCUGGGUAAGUCGGGGCCUAAGGUAAGGCUGAGAAGCGUAGCCGAUGGACAACAGGUUGAGAUUCCUGUACCGCGUAUCAUCAGAACUGUGGGGACACAGAAGGACAGCACAUCCCGGGAAUGGAAAGACCGGGGCAAGCAGGGUAGGAGUUAAGCUGGCAAAUCCGCUUAACAAUCCGAAGCUGUGAUGCGGAGCGAAUUUAAGUAGCGAAGUGUGCGAUUCCGGCUGUCAAGAAAAGCCGCUAUUGUGUGAUACGUGCCCGUACCGUAAACCGACACAGGUAGAUGAGGAGAGAAUCCUAAGGCCGGCGGGAGAAGCAUUGUUAAGGAACUCGGCAAAAUGACCCUGUAACUUCGGGAGAAAGGGUGCCUGGGAAACCAGGCCGCAGAGAAUAGGCUCAAGCAACUGUUUAGCAAAAACACAGGUCUAUGCAAAACCGUAAGGUGAGGUAUAUGGGCUGACGCCUGCCCGGUGCUGGAAGGUUAAGAGGAGGGGUUAGCGCAAGCGAAGCUCUGAAUUGAAGCCCCAGUAAACGGCGGCCGUAACUAUAACGGUCCUAAGGUAGCGAAAUUCCUUGUCGGGUAAGUUCCGACCCGCACGAAAGGCGUAAUGAUUUGAGCGCUGUCUCGACAAUGCACCCGGUGAAAUUGAAAUACCAGUGAAGAUGCUGGUUACCUGCGCCAGGACGGAAAGACCCCAUGGAGCUUUACUCCAGCUUGAUACUGGGAUUCGGUACUGCAUGUACAGGAUAGGUGGGAGACUGAGAACUGAUGACGCCAGUUGUCAGGGAGUCACUGUUGGGAUACCACCCUUGUAGUAUUGGAUUUCUAACCAGCAGCCGUGAACCGGCUGGGGGACAAUGUCAGGUGGGGAGUUUGACUGGGGCGGUCGCCUCCGAAAGGGUAUCGGAGGCGCUCAAAGGUUCCCUCAGAAUGGUUGGAAACCAUUCGAAGAGUGCAAAGGCAGAAGGGAGCUUGACUGCGACACCGACGGGUGGAGCAGGUACGAAAGUAGGACUUAGUGAUCCGGUGGUAUAAAGUGGGAUUGCCAUCGCUCAACGGAUAAAAGCUACCCUGGGGAUAACAGGCUUAUCACUCCCAAGAGUUCACAUCGACGGAGUGGUUUGGCACCUCGAUGUCGGCUCAUCGCAUCCUGGGGCUGAAGUAGGUCCCAAGGGUUGGGCUGUUCGCCCAUUAAAGCGGUACGCGAGCUGGGUUCAGAACGUCGUGAGACAGUUCGGUCCCUAUCCGGCGUGGGCGUAGGAUAUUUGAGAGGAGCUGUCCUUAGUACGAGAGGACCGGGAUGGACGGGCCGCUGGUGUACCUGUUGGAGUGCCAACUCCAUGGCAGGGUAGCCAAGCCCGGACGGGAUAAACGCUGAAGGCAUCUAAGCGUGAAGCCCCCCUCAAGAUGAGAUAUCUCAUACGCAAGUAGUAAGACCCCUUGA